UACGAAGGGGGCUAGCGUUGCUCGGAAUCACUGGGCGUAAAGCGCACGUAGGCGGACUCUUAAGUCGGGGGUGAAAUCCUGGAGCUCAACUCCAGAACUGCCUUCGAUACUGGGAGUCUUGAGUUCGGGAGAGGUGAGUGGAACUGCGAGUGUAGAGGUGAAAUUCGUAGAUAUUCGCAAGAACACCAGUGGCGAAGGCGGCUCACUGGCCCGAUACUGACGCUGAGGUGCGAAAGCGUGGGGAGCGAACCGG
Molecule: ribosomal RNA, 253 nt
Filed under: uncultured bacterium
Lineage: Bacteria
Description: partial 16S ribosomal RNA
Rfam family: Bacterial small subunit ribosomal RNA
Source: RNAcentral